GUGGUCAGGCGGAUGGUCGCUCUGUGCCGCCGUCCCCGAUGCGUCCCGACUCUUCAAAAGGUCGGGACAAUCGGACCGGCGUGUGCGGGGAGGAAAGUCCGGACUCCGCAGGGUAGGGUGUCCUGGUGUAAUGCCGGGAGGUCUUUCGAUUAAUCGAAAGAAACGGAUAGUGCCACAGAAACAAACCGCCCCGAGCAACGUUAGCGUGUCGAGGGGUAAGGGUGAAACGGCGGUGUAAGAGACCACCGCUCCGGACCGCAAGGGCCGGAGGCAAGGCAAACCCCACCUGGAGCAAGAUCAAAUAUGAUACUGGCAAGGCGACCCGCCUUUAUCUCGAUACCCCUCGAAAGGGAUCGGGAUCAGUAUCGGGUUGAUCGCAAUAAGUCCUGGCCGCCGCCGGCCAGGCAAGAUAAAUGACCAUCGUGCCGGUUUGGCUCGUUCCCUCCGUUGCCAAGGCUAUGGCGGGCAGGCCUGCCGACACACAAAAUCCGGCUUAUAGCCUGGCCGCCUGA
This 512-nucleotide RNase P RNA is filed under the name Verrucomicrobiota bacterium. RNAcentral describes it as "Verrucomicrobia bacterium (groundwater metagenome) RNase P RNA component class A". It matches the Rfam family "Bacterial RNase P class A". Rfam says of the family: Ribonuclease P (RNase P) is a ubiquitous endoribonuclease, found in archaea, bacteria and eukarya as well as chloroplasts and mitochondria. Its best characterised activity is the generation of mature 5'-ends of tRNAs by cleaving the 5'-leader elements of precursor-tRNAs. Cellular RNase Ps are ribonucleoproteins. The record is from RNAcentral. Lineage: Bacteria; Pseudomonadati; Verrucomicrobiota.